Molecule: ribosomal RNA, 440 nt
Filed under: uncultured bacterium
Lineage: Bacteria
Description: partial 16S ribosomal RNA
Rfam family: Bacterial small subunit ribosomal RNA
Source: RNAcentral
CCUACGGGUGGCUGCAGUGGGGAAUAUUGCACAAUGGGGGAAACCCUGAUGCAGCGACGCCGCGUGGGUGACGAAGUAUUUCGGUAUGUAAAGCCCUAUCAGCAGGGAAGAAGAUGACAGUACCUGACUAAGAAGCCCCGGCUAACUACGUGCCAGCAGCCGCGGUAAUACAUAGGGGGCAAGCGUUAUCCGGAAUUAUUGGGUGUAAAGGGUGCGUAGACGGAAGAACAAGUUGGUUGUGAAAUCCCUCGGCUCAACUGAGGAACUGCAACCAAAACUAUUCUCCUUGAGUGUCGGAGAGGAAAGUGGAAUUCCUAGUGUAGCGGUGAAAUGCGUAGAUAUUAGGAGGAACACCAGUGGCGAAGGCGACUUUCUGGACGAUAACUGACGUUGAGGCACGAAAGUGUGGGGAGCAAACAGGAUUAGAUACCCGAGUAGUC